This is a transfer RNA of Astyanax mexicanus (Mexican tetra), 72 nucleotides long. It matches the Rfam family "tRNA". From Rfam's summary of the family: Transfer RNA (tRNA) molecules are approximately 80 nucleotides in length. Their secondary structure includes four short double-helical elements and three loops (D, anti-codon, and T loops). The record is from Rfam. Lineage: Eukaryota; Metazoa; Chordata; Actinopteri; Characiformes; Acestrorhamphidae.
GGCUCCGUAGCUCAGUGGAUAGAGCGCUGGUCUGCAAAACCAGAGGUUUGAGUUCGAUCUUCACUGGAGCCU